RNAcentral lists this signal recognition particle RNA (272 nucleotides) under Candidatus Nanoarchaeia archaeon. RNAcentral describes it as "signal recognition particle sRNA". It matches the Rfam family "Archaeal signal recognition particle RNA". Lineage: Archaea; Nanobdellati; Nanobdellota; Candidatus Nanoarchaeia. The record is from RNAcentral.
UGACGGACUAGGCUGGAGAAUUAGCCCUUCUCUGUAACCAUAAACGGGCUUUAUGAUGGAGCUGAAGCUUUCGGGCGGUCUAGGGAUUUACAAGUAGUCUUGGCUCGUACGACGAAGCCUUGUCCUAUUUGGUCGUUAAUAUAUUGAAACGUGUCAGGCUGGGAACAGAGCAGCACUAAAGUAUUUUGAUGACGCUUUUAGGGUGCGGGGUGGAGGAAAGGUCAAGGUUAAACUGCCUGUGGGUUUUUAGAUCCACCUUAAGCGGUCCGUCG